This 323-nucleotide ribosomal RNA is filed under the name Anteholosticha manca. RNAcentral describes it as "SSU rRNA". It matches the Rfam family "Eukaryotic small subunit ribosomal RNA", at positions 414 to 740 of the family's 1831-position model. Lineage: Eukaryota; Ciliophora; Spirotrichea; Urostylida; Holostichidae. The record is from RNAcentral.
AUCUAAGGAAGGCAGCAGGCGCGUAAAUUACCCAAUCCUAAUUCAGGGAGGUAGUGACAAGAAAUAACGGACUGAGGCCUACGCUUCAGGAUUGCAAUGAGUUGAAUUUAAACCCCUUGACGAGGAUCAAUUGGAGGGCAAGUCUGGUGCCAGCAGCCGCGGUAAUUCCAGCUCCAAUAGCGUAUAUUAAAGUUGUUGCAGUUAAAAAGCUCGUAGUUGGAUUUCUGAGAGAGUGCCAAUGUCCGCCGUGUGCGAGUGCAGCGGCGCUCUCUCAUCCUUCUGUUAACGUUUCUUGGUAUUAACUUACUGGUUUCGGGCUCAGA